This 244-nucleotide unclassified non-coding RNA is filed under the name Helotiales sp. Its description in RNAcentral is "partial contains small subunit ribosomal RNA, internal transcribed spacer 1, and 5.8S ribosomal RNA". The stretch from base 1 to 46 matches the Rfam family "Eukaryotic small subunit ribosomal RNA", at positions 1786 to 1831 of the family's 1831-position model. The record is from RNAcentral. Lineage: Eukaryota; Fungi; Ascomycota; Leotiomycetes; Helotiales.
AAGUCGUAACAAGGUCUCCGUAGGUGAACCUGCGGAGGGAUCAUUACAGAGUUUAUGCCCUUACGGGUAGAUCUCCCACCCUAUGUUAUUAUUACCUUUGUUGCUUUGGCGGGCCGUCAGGCCUCGGUCAGGCUACUGGCUCCGGCUAGUAAGCGCCCGCCAGAGGACCCUAAACUCUGAAUAUUAGUGUCGUCUGAGUACUAUAUAAUAGUUAAAACUUUCAACAACGGAUCUCUUGGUUCUG